RNAcentral lists this long non-coding RNA (451 nucleotides) under Triticum aestivum (bread wheat). RNAcentral's name for it is "long non-coding RNA (TAES_LNC014915)". Lineage: Eukaryota; Viridiplantae; Streptophyta; Magnoliopsida; Poales; Poaceae. The record is from RNAcentral.
AUGUGACUUAUCUGGAUGGCGUUGAUUGUAUUAAACUAUUAAUUUGGAUUGACUUGGGUCAAGCUCAGGAAGUUUGUGCUCGCAAUAGUUGCUUGUUUCCAUUGUGUGCAGGUUCCAAUGAGUGCGACGGUAGUCGACAACGAGGAUGGUUGGCAUAAGGCUUGAAGAGCUAAGAUGUGACCAUGGACGUUGUGCGGGAUCAUGCGGCUCAAAGCAACGCACAAGUUUUGGACAAGGACUAUAUGGAGGCAAACGAGAAGACCAUGUCAAGUGAAGGUUAUUUUGGUAUGUUUACCAAAAUCCACUAAGAAGCAAACCAAGAGAGUGAUUGUGGUGUUGCUUAAGAGUGGAAAAUGUUAUUUACAAGUGGCUAAGUAAAAAUGGCUAUUUGUUUUAGUGUUUUGGGCUUGGCCCAUUCGGUGGGAACCAUGGCCCAUUCAAUGGCGGUGGA